AUUGCCAUUGCUAUCUUCGUCUCUUCCUAAUAUCUACACCCAAAGAGAAGAAACAAAAACAAAACCCUAGCACUGAUUACGCUAAUAGGAAAAAAAAAAAUAAAAACCAUCCGAGUCUUUCUCUUUUUGGAUGAUAAAACCCGCUAUUCUAUUCACGGUUCUCUAUUUGCACAAUGGGAGCAAGCCGCAAGCUUCAAGGCGAGAUUGAUCGCGUUCUGAAGAAGGUCCAAGAAGGCGUCGAUGUCUUUGACAGCAUCUGGAACAAGGUUUAUGAUACAGACAACGCAAAUCAGAAAGAGAAAUUUGAGGCGGACUUAAAGAAGGAGAUAAAAAAGCUGCAGAGGUACAGGGAUCAAAUCAAAACAUGGAUUCAAUCUAGUGAGAUCAAGGAUAAGAAGGUUAGUGCCUCUUACGAGCAGGCUUUAGUGGAUGCUCGUAAGCAAAUUGAGCGUGAAAUGGAGAGAUUUAAGAUCUGCGAGAAGGAAACAAAAACAAAGGCAUUUUCUAAAGAAGGGCUGGGCCAACAACCGAAAACUGAUCCAAAGGAGAAGGCUAAAUCAGAAACAAGGGAUUGGUUAAACAAUGUGGUUGGAGAGUUGGAAUCACAGAUUGAUAGCUUUGAAUCUGAAAUUGAGGGGCUAUCUGUUAAGAAAGGGAAGACAAGACCACCUAGAUUGACGCAUUUAGAGACAUCUAUCGUGCGGCACAAGGCUCAUAUUAUGAAGUUAGAAUGGAUCUUGAGGCUACUGGAUAACGAUGAAUUGAGUCCUGAGCAGGUCAAUGAUGUUAAAGACUUCCUGGACGACUAUGUGGAACGUAAUCAGGAGGACUUUGAUGAAUUUAGUGAUGUUGAUGAGCUUUACAGCUCAUUGCCAUUGGACAAGGUGGAGUCUCUUGAAGAUCUUGUUACAAUUGGUACUCCUGGUCUUGUCAAGGUUGCACCAGUUCACAGCUUGAAGACAUCUUUAGCAGCUUCAGCAUCUCAAAUGCCUGCAACUGCCACGUCUACUCAUCAGCAGGCUACUUUGGUUCAGGAGCAAGCUGAUGAUACAGCUUC
RNAcentral lists this unclassified non-coding RNA (1057 nucleotides) under Hevea brasiliensis (rubber tree). Lineage: Eukaryota; Viridiplantae; Streptophyta; Magnoliopsida; Malpighiales; Euphorbiaceae. The record is from RNAcentral.